UGCCUUACACAUGCAAGUCGAACGGCAACAGGGUGGCAGCCCUGGUGACGAGUGGCGAACGGGUGAGUAAUACGUCGGAACGUGUCGAGUAGUGGGGGAUAACCCAGCGAAAGCUGGAUUAAUACCGCAUACGUUCUGAGGUGGAAAGGGGGGGAUCUUAGGACCUCCCGCUACAGGAGCGGCCGAUGUCAGAUUAGCUAGUAGGUGGGGUAAAGGCUCACCUAGGCGACGAUCAGUAGCUGGUCUGAGAGGAUGACCAGCCACACUGGGACUGAGACACGGCCCAGACUCCUACGGGAGGCAGCAGUGGGGAAUUUUGGACAAUGGGGGCAACCCUGAUCCAGCCAUGCCGCGUGUGUGAAGAAGGCCUUCGGGUUGUAAAGCUC
Molecule: ribosomal RNA, 386 nt
Filed under: uncultured organism
Description: bacterial SSU rRNA
Rfam family: Bacterial small subunit ribosomal RNA
Source: RNAcentral